CCUACGGGUGGCAGCAGUGAGGAAUAUUGGUCAAUGGCCGGAAGGCUGAACCAGCCAAGCCGCGUGAGGGAGGAAGGCGCAGAGCGUCGCAGACCUCUUUUGCCGGGGGACAAAAGGCCGGACUCGUCCGGUCCUGAGGGUACCCGGAGAAAAAGCAUCGGCUAACUCCGUGCCAGCAGCCGCGGUAAUACGGAGGAUGCGAGCGUUAUCCGGAUUUAUUGGGUUUAAAGGGUGCGUAGGCGGGCUGUUAAGUCAGCGGUAAAAUGUCGGGGCUCAACCCCGGCCUGCCGUUGAAACUGGCGGCCUCGAGUGGGCGAGAAGCAUGCGGAAUGCGUGGUGUAGCGGUGAAAUGCAUAGAUAUCACGCAGAACUCCGAUUGCGAAGGCAGCAUACCGGCGCCCGACUGACGCUGAGGCACGAAAGCGUGGGUAUCGAACAGGAUUAGAUACCCGAGUAGUC
Molecule: ribosomal RNA, 459 nt
Filed under: uncultured bacterium
Lineage: Bacteria
Description: partial 16S ribosomal RNA
Rfam family: Bacterial small subunit ribosomal RNA
Source: RNAcentral